GCCACACGGCCAGGAGCAGCAGCCGUCGGCCGCAUCAGGCGAGGCGUAGGCUGGGCAGGAGUCCUGGUCCUGAUACAUUAGUUCCUAGAAUAAAAGACUAGUUUGUUACGUAUAGGUUUCUAGUUUGUUAGCAGCCCAUGGGGCCUUUAUAUAUCGUAUAAUCAGCACCCUUUGAGGGCAAGCAAUAAAGUUAUUAUCUCCUACCUCUUCCUCUGUCUCCUAUCCUCUCCUCCCGCACCAUUGAGCAGCCAGGCAAAAACCCUAGCGCUCCUAUCCACCGAGACUACGAACUACGUAGUCGAGGCCCCGCUGUCUUGGGCACUGAGGCCCUUGACAGACGACCCACAGUCACCAGGAUGGACGCAAAGAGUUCUCAUUGAGCACCGCCGUUGUGCGUCAGGAGGGUAUGUGCACCGGAGAAGACUUUCAGAGGAUUCACGGAGAAGAAGAGAGGCAAUUUAGUUGUUCCUGGAGUUGGGGCUACAUUCGACUCGCUUGGUCAGGCGUAUGACCUGAACAACAUGUACGUGUGUACUCUCGGGAAAUUGGAUUUGGUAUCUGGUACAGCAAGAGAGAUUGAAUGUUGAGCCCACAAAAUGUAUGCAAGAGAUUGUAUGCAGCUGCUCGCUAAGUGCCAGCAGAAAGUUUUUCUGAACCAUUGUGUAUAUUUCCUGACUGUGGAAAUGGUUACUUAUGUCUGCUCCAGGGGAUACCAAAGAAGAGAAGAGAGAUACUAAAUUGUGUUGAUGCAGUGACCUGCAAUGAUAUGUCUCUGGAGCAGCACGCAAGAGAUUUACACUUGGGCAAUGUUUGAGAAGUCCAGUAAGAGGCAGGGCGAUACAUGAUUGAGGAGGCAGAGAAAGGCGUAAAAUACCUCGUGAAGCGGCACCAUCCAGAGAAGCAUGAUAAAUGGUGCCACAUCGUGUAUGAGGUGCGCAUAGAAGAUCAGAGUUUCUCUACGAAUGUGGAAAUUUCUAGCAUAGCGGACUAUUGUGCUGCAUGCUAUGAAGGUCAAGGGGAGUGCCAUUGGUAAUUUAGCUGGCCUCUUCGCACCGCUUCGGGAAACACAAGCCAGGGAGACCAACUAGCUGUCGAGACAAGCCUAUGUUCGAUGACAGAGCGCGUUGAAGAGCUCAAAGAAGAAACAAAGAGAAUAUUGGGGAGACAGUUGGGUGUGAUUCAAGCAAGUAAACCCGGUUAUGUACCAUCUGUAGGCAGAAAUGGAGGAAGGCGCACGACCUGCCCCAACCGGGUCGACAUGCCAAAGAAGCCGAAGAAAGAGCUGACCUGAACAAAUUCUGGUGGUGGUUGGUUGGGUACUGGAGGGAACACUUGCGCAAUCAUAACAUCGUGCUUCACAAGGUGCUGCCUGCAUGAAGCUGAUGUAGUUGAUACUGCAGUUUGAAGAUUGUGCAAAAAACAAUUUGUAUCUGAAUACACAAAUUUUUAUAUACUCCGGGAUGUACUGAAAAUUUUCCUCUUAAGAGCAAACAAUGUCGUAGUGAGCCGCCUGAAUAAAACUGUAGGAGUUUGUGUACUGGGAGGAGGGGCAGGAACUCAUUCAGAUUUCGAAUGUUUGAUUUUCAAAGC
Molecule: long non-coding RNA, 1590 nt
Organism: Triticum aestivum (bread wheat)
Lineage: Eukaryota; Viridiplantae; Streptophyta; Magnoliopsida; Poales; Poaceae
Exons: 3
Source: RefSeq, a predicted model, not a curated record